GGGAAUGUGGCUCAAGUGAUAGAGCACCUGCCUAGUAAGCAGAAGGCCCUGAGUUCAAACCCCAGUACUGCAG
Molecule: transfer RNA, 73 nt
Filed under: Dipodomys ordii (Ord's kangaroo rat)
Lineage: Eukaryota; Metazoa; Chordata; Mammalia; Rodentia; Heteromyidae
Rfam family: tRNA
About the family: Transfer RNA (tRNA) molecules are approximately 80 nucleotides in length.
Source: Rfam by way of RNAcentral